This 460-nucleotide ribosomal RNA is filed under the name uncultured bacterium. Its description in RNAcentral is "partial 16S ribosomal RNA". It matches the Rfam family "Bacterial small subunit ribosomal RNA", at positions 338 to 795 of the family's 1533-position model. The record is from RNAcentral.
CCUACGGGUGGCAGCAGUGAGGAAUAUUGGUCAAUGGGCGCGAGCCUGAACCAGCCAAGCCGCGUGAAGGAUGACUGCCCUACGGGUUGUAAACUUCUUUUAUAAAGGAAUAAAGUGAGGCACGUGUGCCUUUUUGUAUGUACUUUAUGAAAAAGGAUCGGCUAACUCCGUGCCAGCAGCCGCGGUAAUACGGAGGAUCCGAGCGUUAUCCGGAUUUAUUGGGUUUAAAGGGAGCGGAGAUGGGUUGUUAAGUCAGUUGUGAAAGUUUGCGGCUCAACCGUAAAAUUGCAAUUAAUAAUGGCAGUCUUGAGUACAGUAGAGGUAGGCGGAAUUCGUGGUGUAGCGGUGAAAUGCUUAGAUAUCACGAAGAACUCCGAUUGCGAAGGCAGCUUACUAGACUGCCACUGACGUUGAUGCUCGAAAGUGUGGGUAGCAAACAGGAUUAGAUACCCGGGUAGUC